AACAGGAUUAGAUACCCUGGUAGUCCACGCCGUAAACGAUGCUAACUCGUUUUUGGGGUUUCGGCUUCAGAGACUAAGCGAAAGUGAUAAGUUAGCCACCUGGGGAGUACGUUCGCAAGAAUGAAACUCAAAGGAAUUGACGGGGGCCCGCACAAGCGGUGGAUUAUGUGGUUUAAUUCGAUGAUACGCGAGGAACCUUACCAAGACUUAAAUGGGAAAUGACAGAUUUAGAAAUAGAUCCUUCUUCGGACAUUUUUCAAGGUGCUGCAUGGUUGUCGUCAGCUCGUGCCGUGAGGUGUUAGGUUAAGUCCUGCAACGAGCGCAACCCCUGUCACUAGUUGCUAGCAUUAAGUUGAGGACUCUAGUGAGACUGCCUACGCAAGUAGAGAGGAAGGUGGGGAUGACGUCAAAUCAUCACGGCCCUUACGUCUUGGGCCACACACGUAAUACAAUGGCCGGUACAGAGGGCAGCUACACAGCGAUGUGAUGCAAAUCUCGAAAGCCGGUCUCAGUUCGGAUUGGAGUCCGCAACUCGACUCUAUGAAGCUGGAAUCGCUAGUAAUCGCGCAUCAGCCAUGGCGCGGUGAAUACGUUCCCGGGCCUUGUACACACCGCCCGUCAAGCCAUGGAAGUCUGGGGUACCUGAAGUCGGUGACCGUAAAAGGAGCUGCCUAGGGUAAAACAGGUAACUAGGGCUAAGUCGUAACAAGGUAACC
Molecule: ribosomal RNA, 716 nt
Filed under: uncultured bacterium
Lineage: Bacteria
Description: bacterial SSU rRNA
Rfam family: Bacterial small subunit ribosomal RNA
Source: RNAcentral